Molecule: ribosomal RNA, 383 nt
Filed under: uncultured bacterium
Lineage: Bacteria
Description: bacterial SSU rRNA
Rfam family: Bacterial small subunit ribosomal RNA
Source: RNAcentral
AUUGAACGCUGGCGGCAUGCCUUACACAUGCAAGUCGAACGGCAGCACGGGGGCAACCCUGGUGGCGGGUGGCGAACGGGUGAGUAACAUAUCGGAACAUACCCUAGAGUGGGGGAUAACGUAGCGAAAGUUACGCUAAUACCGCAUACGAUCUAAGGAUGAAAGUGGGGGAUCUUCGGACCUCAUGCUCAUGGAGUGGCCGAUAUCUGAUUAGCUAGUUGGUGAGGUAAAGGCUCACCAAGGCGACGAUCAGUAGCUGGUUUGAGAGAACGACCAGCCACACUGGAACUGAGACACGGUCCAGACUCCUACGGGAGGCAGCAGUGGGGAAUUUUGGUACAAUGGGGGCAACCCUGAUCCAGCAAUGCCGCGUGAGUGAAGAA